AGCGAACGCUGGCGGCAGGCUUAACACAUGCAAGUCGAACGCCCCGCAAGGGGAGUGGCAGACGGGUGAGUAACACGUGGGAACGUACCCUUUGGUUCGGAAUAACUUGGGGAAACUCAAGCUAAUACCGGAUAAGCCCUUAUGGGGAAAGGUUUACUGCCGAAGGAUCGGCCCGCGUCUGAUUAGCUAGUUGGUGAGGUAAUGGCUCACCAAGGCGACGAUCAGUAGCUUGUCUGAGAGGAUGAUCAGCCACACUGGGACUGAGACACGGCCCAGACGCCUACGGGAGGCAGCAGUGGGGAAUAUUGGACAAUGGGGGCAAACCUGAUACAGCCAUGCCGCGUGAGUGAUGAAGGCCUUAGGGUUGUAAAGCUCUUUUACCCGGGACGAUAAUGACUGUACCGGGAGAAUAAGCCCCGGCUAACUUCGUGCCAGCCGCCGCGGUAA
RNAcentral lists this ribosomal RNA (447 nucleotides) under uncultured bacterium. RNAcentral's name for it is "partial 16S ribosomal RNA". It matches the Rfam family "Bacterial small subunit ribosomal RNA", at positions 29 to 523 of the family's 1533-position model. The record is from RNAcentral.